AUGGAGUUACGAUUUUUGGUUCGUGGUUACCUUUGUCUUUUUCUCCUCUUCUUUCUGUGCAAGGAAUUUGCAGGAAUGAAAGGAAAUGACCCAGGGAGUCCGCGAAGCCCGAGGAGUCCGGGCAGCCUGAGGAGCCCGAGUAAACUGAGUAGCUCAAGUAGCCUGAGGAGUCUAAGUAGGCAACGGAGCCUCGGUUUAGUCGGUAAAGUCCUUUCAUUCAACAAAGGUGACGCCAUCAUCACUAGCUGGAUUCCAAGCAGAUUCGGGGUCUUUAGACCGUUCCAAUGGAUGUACGCCGUCGACAAUGACAACGUAAUAGUCUUCCAACCUGAUUCCUAUUGGAGACUUCGCAGCGUUAUGAGACCAGCCAUCGUCAACUUCCGCCAGGAGUACCCGACUGCGCUCGCGAUCAACUUGGGGAAACUGCCAGGGUACAUCGGGGCACCAGGAACCUUCUUGGCUGCGGCGAUGCUGGAUGAUAAGAAGAACCGGUUCCACUAUCAUGCUAAAUACUGCAACAGCAGACAUUACGUGGAAUACUUGUCGACUGGAAAAGUCACGGGGACUUAUCCUUCGCCUUUGAUAAUGGACCCAUGGUGCCCUCUGACGGCGCCACUCACGCCAGGAAUGGGGAGGAAGUUCUCGAUGAUAGGGACGUUCAGAAUGAAACCUGCGGAAGGUCCGGAGAUCAAGGUGUCCUUUCGAUCUAAGCCGGAUUGGGCCAUGUUCCUUGAGACUACGGAACCAGAAGAGCCGUAUGCUGUGAUAAGGCACGACAUUGAAGACUCAUUACCUUAGGGAGAAUUCCCGGUAUAAAAUAAGUUUGAAAAUCAUUAUUGUACUGACAGAUUUAGAUCGCUAAAUAUAUAACGAAAAAAUUAGUUUUGAUAUAUAAGUUCGACAAACCUUUAUUUUGAUUAACGAAAGAGUGCGUUUCUAUGUGGACACCUGCUGCAAGUGAAAAAUUUGAAAGCAUAAAUUGAAACCUUGAUUUGAUAACAAAUCUAGGGUGGAGAGCUUUUUAAAAGGGUCCGAAACCAUUAGUGAGCUACAGAACACCGAGCAUGCCUCGCUUCAUGUCUAUGGCGGUAGCACCAUCAGUCAAUGGAGAUAAGGACCAGUUUAGAUGUAUCAGAUCCGUCCCUGUUUUGAAAGAGAAUGUAAAAAAUCGCGAUAUGGGAAACAUUUUUGGUUUUCUUUUUGAGGAGAAGCUCCCCCUAAUUUUGUCCGGAAUAAAAUAACGGGGCAGGAAAAUUGCAUCAUGUUCACUUAGUAUGAAUGGUCAUAUUGCAAACGAUAGAAACGAGAGAGAUUAUCGAUUAGUACUUAGGUUUGCGUCACAACCUCUCAUCACAUCUUAAUUCAACGUAGAAAACCGAGCAUUUUAAAAUAUGUUAGGUUCCGCAUUAAUUUGUCUGCAAAAUACUAAAAACAUCCACUAUAAUAUUUCUUACAUUUUUCAGAUCGUUUUCAUUUGUAAAAAUAAAGUAAAAGCUGAUUUUUUAAAAAUAUCUGAAGCGUAAUGCGUCUUUCCUUUUCUUUG
RNAcentral lists this long non-coding RNA (1543 nucleotides) under Bemisia tabaci. Its description in RNAcentral is "lncRNA ENSSSA1UGG008615". The record is from RNAcentral. Lineage: Eukaryota; Metazoa; Arthropoda; Insecta; Hemiptera; Aleyrodidae.